UAAGUAGGUAGUGAAAUCCUGGGGCUCAACCCUUUAAACAUUAUCUAAACUGCAAAGCUAGAAUGUAGAAGAGGUAGCUGGAAUUCCUAGUGUAGGAGUGAAAUCCGUAGAUAUUAGGAGGAACACCGAUGGCGUAGGCAGGCUACUGGUCUAUUAUUGACGCUAAGGCACGAAAGCGUGGGGAGCAAACGGGAUUAGAUACCCCGGUAGUCCACGCCGUAAACUAUGGAUGCUA
RNAcentral lists this ribosomal RNA (235 nucleotides) under uncultured Candidatus Saccharibacteria bacterium. RNAcentral's name for it is "partial 16S ribosomal RNA". It matches the Rfam family "Bacterial small subunit ribosomal RNA", at positions 584 to 818 of the family's 1533-position model. The record is from RNAcentral. Lineage: Bacteria; Candidatus Saccharimonadota.